This 411-nucleotide ribosomal RNA is filed under the name uncultured prokaryote. RNAcentral describes it as "bacterial SSU rRNA". It matches the Rfam family "Bacterial small subunit ribosomal RNA", at positions 505 to 918 of the family's 1533-position model. The record is from RNAcentral.
GUGUCAGCAGCCGCGGUAAUACGGAGGAUGCGAGCGUUAUCCGGAUUUAUUGGGUUUAAAGGGUGCGUAGGCGGAUUAGUAAGUCAGUGGUGAAAACCUGCAGCUUAACUGUAGACUUGCCAUUGAUACUGUUAGUCUUGAGUAUGGUCAAGGAAGGCGGAAUGUGUAAUGUAGCGGUGAAAUGCUUAGAUAUUACACAGGACACCGAUUGCGAAGGCAGCUUUCUGGGCCAUUACUGACGCUGAUGCACGAAAGCGUGGGGAUCGAACAGGAUUAGAUACCCUGGUAGUCCACGCCGUAAACGAUGAUCACUCGCUGUUGGCGAUAUACAGUCAGCGGCAAAGCAAAAGCAUUAAGUGAUCCACCUGGGGAGUACGGCCGCAAGGCUGAAACUCAAAGGAAUUGACGGGA